UACAGAGGGUGCAAGCGUUAUUCGGAUUCACUGGGCGUAAAGGGUGCGCAGGUGGCCAAGUGUGUUAGGCGUGAAAGCCCGGGGCUUAACCCCGGAAUUGCACCUAAAACUACAUGGCUAGAGCAUUGGAGAGGGGAGCAGAAUUCACGGUGUAGCAGUGAAAUGCGUAGAUAUUGUGAGGAAUACCAGAGGCGAAGGCGGCUCCCUGGACAAUUGCUGACACUCAGGCACGAAAGCGUGGGGAGCAAACAGG
Molecule: ribosomal RNA, 253 nt
Filed under: uncultured bacterium
Lineage: Bacteria
Description: partial 16S ribosomal RNA
Rfam family: Bacterial small subunit ribosomal RNA
Source: RNAcentral